AAGUCGUAACAAGGUUUCCGUAGGUGAACCUGCGGAAGGAUCAUUACUAAAACAACGGGGCGGCCUCUUGGCGGCUCCUUCUCUGCUCACGCAGUAGAAAAUUGCCUAGUGGGCUUAAGUCUAACACGACGAAUGAUCGUGCUUAACCCACCUGUCUUCGAUCAGCCUUUGUGGCCAUCGUCAUGACGGGCAAAACCUACCCUGUAAUUACCAAUCACUUUGUGGUUGUGACUUGGCUUGAAAACAAGUUUUCUUAAUACAAAA
This 264-nucleotide unclassified non-coding RNA is filed under the name plant metagenome. RNAcentral's name for it is "partial contains small subunit ribosomal RNA and internal transcribed spacer 1". The stretch from base 1 to 46 matches the Rfam family "Eukaryotic small subunit ribosomal RNA", at positions 1786 to 1831 of the family's 1831-position model. The record is from RNAcentral.